Long non-coding RNA from Brassica rapa (field mustard), 5379 nucleotides. RefSeq lists it as uncharacterized. The record is from RefSeq and is a predicted model, not a curated record. Lineage: Eukaryota; Viridiplantae; Streptophyta; Magnoliopsida; Brassicales; Brassicaceae.
AGAAGAAGAAGUUACUCCUUUCCUCAUCCAAGUCACUAUGAAGCUGAAGAUCAAGAAACUCAUAUAGCUCCUCUGUUUCAAACAAUUCAAAAGACCAAAUCAUUAAAAGGAAGAAGAUCACUGCUCUCAUCAAUCUUCUUCUGCACAUAAAUAAACAAUUAACACAACUUCAACAUCAAUAUUGGACCAGAAAUGAGCAACUGAGAGAAGAUAUUAACAAAAGUAUAACCUCUUUGAGAAGGAUGGAUUCAGGAAAUGGACCGGUAGCUUCGUCAAGUCUAGUGGAGAAGCUAUGGUUGUCAUCUCUCUUGUUCUUCUUCUUUGCGGCGGCUAUCAAAGGAAGAGGAUCCUCUGCGGCCGAGAAUAGGAUUCAAACACACGUGUGGCGGUUGAUGAACAAAUCUCGGCCAUAUAAACUGGAUAUAAGAGACACUAGAGACCAAAAAGCGUGUAGGAGUGACUCCACCGGAGAAAGUACGACGGAGGAAAAACUGGUUUAGCGGAAGAGCAAGGAAUUAUGGGUUUAGAUAAAAAAAAUUAUUGUGAAAUAUUUCACUUUUGAACUUUAUUGUUUUCUAUCAUUGCCUAAACCGUCCUAUCUAGUUUCAUACUUUCAAACUAGUGUUUUUAUUCAAAUUUUUCAAGGACAUUUCCCCCCGCUGCACGUCAUUGGACUCAUCAAACAAAUAGUGCUCGACAAAAACACUAAAUCUCAAGCUAUUGGAAGUUGUAAAGUGUGCAGUAUUCUGGUUAGUGAGUUAAUGAUUAUCAAUUGAGCGAACAGUUAGUACACAAUAACCAUAUCCAACCUAACCCAUUCCAAAAUAUGGAUUAAGCAUUAGUAUGACAUAUUUGUUAUGUUUAAAAUAUGUCUAAGGUUGGAACUAAUUAGUCUAAUUUGUAAUCAAACAAAACAGAAGAAGAAAACAUCUAUAUAAAGGAAUAACAUUAGAGUCUACAAUUUUUUAAAAGAAAAUUUUGAAAUUGAUCUACCGGCAAAACUAAGGGUGGGCAUAAUAACCGAUACCCGAAUCCGAACCCGAACCCAACCCGAAGUAAGUGAUUCGGUUCAAGUUCGGUUAGUGCCAAAUACCCGAUCGGUUUUCAUCCUAUCCCUUUCGGUUAUUACCCGAUACCCGAACCUACCCGAACAUAACCGAACUUAACCAAAACCUUACCAUUUAUGAUUUAUUCCCUUUCCCAAAAUUGUGUCGUGCAAUAUACCCAAGCAUCAUACAAAUUGUUUAGUGUUCCCGAAAAUUAUGUUUCCUAGAUUCUUCUUAAGUAACUAAGAUUUAAUCUCAUAAAUUAACAAACUAGAAACCUUAAAUACUCAUUUUUUUUUCUUACUCGGUGACGUCGAAUAAAAGUAAUUGUCUCGCUUUUUUUCAGUUUCUUUCUUUUGUUUUGAUUUUGCGUGUAUGAUGAUUAGAAGUUUGAUUCUGUUUGUAUGAUGCGUAAAAGUUCGUCGAUUUUGUUUGACGUUUGGUUGUAAAGUUUAUUACAAGUAGAGGAAUGAAAUGUGGUUUACUUGUUUGUGUUCAGUAGAUGUUUGGUUUGAUUUACUUGUUUGUGCUCAUGUUUGUAUAAUGUUUCAGGAAUGGUUUCAAUACAGGUGAAAAUAUGUUUUUCAAAAAAAAAAUUGUUUGAAGUUCGGAUAUAUCCGAAAAUAUUCGAACCCGAAGUGAAAAAACCCGAACCCGACCCGAAAUGUCAAAAUAUCCAAAUAGGUUCUAUACUCUUAUAUCGAAAUACCCGAAUAUCCGAAAUACCCGAUCCGAACCCGAACGCCCACCCUAGGCAAAACAAUGGCCCGAAAUGUGCCAGACUGCCAGCUAUGCUAACAUAAACUGAAACUUUAGAUAUCAAAUGUUACUUUAUUAUGGGCUGCUAAUGGGCUAAUUAUAGGCCAACCAUGUUACUUCAAAUACGUAAAGCUUAGUAAAUGGACGGCUGAAAAUAAGGGCGUUUUAUAAGACUCGUUAAUCACUUAAUUGUUUAUACGGUUUAACAACAAAAUCUGACAUAUAUCAAACCACUAAGAGCGUGAUUAACAUAUAACAACCACUAAGGGCAUGACUGGUUCAAACGCAGCGGUUGCGGGAGUUUGUGAAUGCGGGCAGUUGCGGUUUCUAGCGGUUUUAAGAGAUUUGUACGACUGGUACUGCGGUUAAAAAUUGGUGCGCUUACGGGUGACUUAUAACUGGUUAACUACCAAAUACGGUAACAGUCAAAUAAUAAAUUAACAAUAUUUACAUUUAAUAUAAUUAUAAAAAUAUCAAAAAUCAUAAAAUUAUAAUAAAUAUAAAUUUAUAUUUAGAAAGUUAUAAUUUUAAUUUUUGAAAAUUUAUUGAAAUUGUUUUUAUUAUAAAAUAUUAUAAUAUUAAUUAAAAUAUAAUAGAUAUAUUUUAAUAUUUUCAUAAUUUCAAUUCUAAAUUUUUUAUUAAAUAUUUUUACUUUUGUAUAUAUAUUGUUUAAAAAAAAAGAAAAAAAAUUUACCCUCCCGCAACCGUCCACAACCGCAAAUGCUAGCUGAAGCCAGCUUUUGAAUUUAUGAGAUUCAGAGCGGUUUGAAGCGGUUUAGAGCGAUUUGAGUGAUUGUUGCAAACCACCGACAACCGCUACCAACCGCAAAAGCUGCGUUUGCGGGUGGUAGCGAGAAAACCAGUCGCCCCCUAAGACUCGUUAAUCACUUAAUUGUUUAUACAGUUUAAAAACAAAAUCUGACAUAUAACAAGAUCUGACAUAUAUUAAAAGAAAUUAAUAUUUUUCAUUUUAUAUGUUACUAUAUAUAUAUAUAUAUAUUAGAAAUAUAUUCAUUAAAAAUAAAUAUAUUGUAAAUAUAUUAUACUAAUUUUUAUAAUAAUUUUAAAUAGCAUAAUCAUACUGCUCUACCAAUCAUCUUAUUAAACAGUUUAGCAAAAGCAUACAUAUCUCAUGCAACAUACUGCUUCUUUAGCAUACUGCUACUGCUAAUGCUAACGGUCUACCAAUCAAGGCCUUAGUCGAAGUUCGUAAUUCAUGAUUUGACAUUUUUUUGGUUAAGAGACGGCUCUUAUAUCUAUAUUUAAGAGACAAUUCCUAACUUUUCUUAAUUUAAAUAUAAGAAAAACUAAGAACCGUCUGUUAUUCAAAACUAAAAAUUCCAAUUAAGAGACUGAGGUUAAUCAUAGUCUAAUUCUAAUAAUUAUUUACUUAAAAAUGAUGAAUAUUUAGAGCAGUUCUUUGGAAAAUUCUAUUAAACUUUUAUUUUCCUUACUUUUGCAUGCUACACAUACUUGCAUUACAGCUUUUCACUACCAGAUCAACUAAAGUAUUGUUAUGUUAUGGGGCCAAAACUAAAACUAACAAAAAUGUUGGGCAUAAAACGGAAGAUCUCUGGAGCAUGGUACCAAAGAGAAGUGAACGGACUGAUUGAUAUGGGCAAGAAAACAAACGAAACAAAAAAAAUCAUAGUAUCAUUCUUACUUGUAAGAGCCUUGUCGUAGUUUUCUGUUUACAAAAAAAAUGUUUUUGAAGAUAUCAACUGAAAUGUAUUAUACUGAAGACUUGUUAAGAGUGAAUACGUAUAUACAAAUAGUAGUACUACCGUUCACACAUUAAACGAAAUAUUAAUUUGACUUAGGAACCCAGGUCUGUCAAUGGAUUCUUUUUCGCGUCAUCAGUUUGAUUAUAAAACAGUAUAGUAUUAGACUACUAGUUUAGUACGUUACUAGUUUAUAGCAUUAUUUUGACCAUUUAUGCCUUAGGAGACUGUGAUUUUCCCGCACGCCCACAAAGUUUCUAUUCCCCACAAAUCUUAAGACUUUUGAUUACUUCACUUUUAAAUAACUUUUUUUCUUGAACCAUUUUAUAUAGCAUUUUUUGUGGAACAACCAUUUUAUAUUAGCUAAAAACGAAUUCGAUCACUUUUAAUUAUAUUUCAAUCAAUGUUACUUCGCCUACUUCAUUUUUCAGAGGACGGAAACUCAUUUGAAUAGAGAAUAACAAUAUAUUCAAAACACAAGAGAUGAAUAAACUUCAUAAGAAGUUAGAAAAAAUAAUUUUAGGAAAUUGCAGACUUGAGAAAUAGGAACAACACAUGGACAUCAUCGUUUCUGAAGAAUGUUAUUAUAUAGAGUAUGAAUUUUUGUAUAUAAACAUGAUAUAUUUUGAAAUUUGAAGUCUAAAGUUUUGUCCCUAGAAUUGAGGAAUUCCAUUUACCAAGAUUCUCUUAAUUUGCUCAAUCUCAGUCUCUUCACCAAUUAGCGAAUAAUUAUGUUUAGCUAGUAAGCCUAGUCCAGCUAGGUUGAGUUAUGAAGUAAAAAAUGUUACAAUAAAUAACGUGGGAUAUACGUUAUAUGAAACAUAUAUACAUUUUAACAGGAGGAAACCAAUGAAAAGAACUGUUGACAAAGAAAGCAAAGGUGAAAAUGAAACACAGUUUCGAGUUUUUAUUUGACCUGUUGACUUUUAUUUCACUUAUUAGGAGGACCAACGAAACUGCUAACUCAGAGAAGAGGACCACCUUCCGGGCAGAACGGUCACGUGUUCGGGCAGGUUGGUUAAUGAAUAUCGUAACGAUGACGUCAUCAAGCUCACCUAAAUAGUAGCUCUUUCGGCAUUGACGACGCCACAAUCCCUUGCAAAGGUCCAAUUGGGCCCCGGCCCACGAAGGUUAUUAUUUAUUUAUUUCUCUCUUUGCCUUAUAAUCACUCCUCACUUGAUUCCUUCUCCAUCAUAUAUCUCACCGUUUAUCAAGACUCUCUCUCUCUCUCUCUCUCUCUCUCUCUUAAAUGGAACAGAGAGAAGAGCUCUCAUGGAUGAAAGAAGCGAAACAGGAGUUUCUCCAAGGCAGUAGCGUGAACAUAAACCUCAUGAUGCAUAGAGAUUAUUGGGUCCGUUGUGCUGAAACAUUAAGUUUCUUUUCGGAACUCCAAUUACAUUGAUAAUCUGGUGUUAUCCCAACUUGAGCUCAUUGUCAAUUUUUUUUUUCUUUUUUUAAACUUCUUUCUUCCACUGAAUGAUUUUUAUUUUCUUGACCUUGUAAGGCCUUUUCUUGACCUUGUAAGACCCCAUCCCUUUCUAAGUGUCUCCUUCUUCUAUCAUUUUACAGAUUUUCUUUUAUCUCUUUUUGGUGUAAGAUAUGUAUGUAUAUCUACCCCUAGUUUGUCUGAGUCAUCUUCUCCUACCUUGUCUAUCCCUCCUGAGCUAGUCCUUGUAUCUUUUUGUUAGUCCAUUGAUAUAAAUUUCAAAAAAAAAGAACUUAGUUUUAACAUUUGUUUGUGUUGGUUGUGUUGUUGUUAUAAAAGUUAAAGGAGGUAAAAAAAAAGUCUCACUAUCAAGGGGACUGGCAAAAGGUAAUGAAUAAGGAAACGGGCAAAAAGAAUUAUGCCUUUA